GUAAGACGCUUAGAAGGUUUUUCACCUAACCCCUUACCGAAAGCGACUAUUGGGCUUAUGGACGCCUUACCUUUUAAGAACUAGCCUGUACGUGAGGAGAACCUAAUGCCGCCCACGAUCUGUCACCUACUAGGGAGUGCGCUCCUACUUUCCGUUCAAGCCAGCAGUAAUCAAAGGUAAUCUUAAGUAUGAGCACCACGCUCACACUUAAUCCUACAACUCUAACUAGUUGCAGCUAGCUAGAGCUCCUAUACAAGAUAGGACGAUGAUGCACACACAGGAGUGGUUAC
This 290-nucleotide long non-coding RNA is filed under the name Sorghum bicolor (sorghum). RNAcentral's name for it is "long non-coding RNA (SBIC_LNC015835)". Lineage: Eukaryota; Viridiplantae; Streptophyta; Magnoliopsida; Poales; Poaceae. The record is from RNAcentral.